UGAGAACAAUUAAGAUGGACGGUUGUCUCU
RNAcentral lists this non-coding RNA (30 nucleotides) under Rattus norvegicus (Norway rat). The record is from RNAcentral. Lineage: Eukaryota; Metazoa; Chordata; Mammalia; Rodentia; Muridae.